UUCUGAACAUGUCAUCAUGUCAGCCUCUCUGUCAUUUUAAGAUGGAGCAGCAUCUGUCUCCAAGUCUCUCCUCUGUGUCUUAACAUUUUAAAAGUACACCUAUUUAUACCAGGUGUCGUCAUUUUAGGUUACUGUAGUUCAAAUAUGAAAAAGUAACACCUUUUACUUUAUUCAAUUUAGGACCUCCCUUAAUUUGGCAAACAUACAAGGCCAUAACUAAAGGGUGUAUACGUCAUGGAAAUUUUCCUGACUUAGUUCAAGAUGGCAUCUUAAAGUUUGAAUAGGUUAUCUGUUG
This is a non-coding RNA of Pelobates cultripes (western spadefoot toad), 295 nucleotides long. The record is from the annotation of a GenBank genome assembly. NCBI's taxonomy places the organism in Eukaryota, Metazoa, Chordata, Amphibia, Anura, Pelobatidae.